RNAcentral lists this ribosomal RNA (440 nucleotides) under uncultured bacterium. Its description in RNAcentral is "partial 16S ribosomal RNA". It matches the Rfam family "Bacterial small subunit ribosomal RNA", at positions 338 to 795 of the family's 1533-position model. The record is from RNAcentral.
CCUACGGGAGGCAGCAGUGGGGAAUAUUGCACAAUGGGGGAAACCCUGAUGCAGCGACGCAGCGUGAGUGAAGAAGUAAUUCGUUAUGUAAAGCUCUAUCAGCAGGGAAGAAAAUGACGGUAACUGAGUAAGAAGCCCCGGCUAACUACGUGCCAGCAGCCGCGGUAAGAAGUAGGGGGCAAGCGUUAUCCGGAUUUACGGGGUGUAAAGGGAGCGUAGACGGAAGUGCAAGUCUGGAGUGAAAGGCGGGGGCACAACCCCCGGACUGCUCUGGAAACUGUACGGAUGGAGUGCAGGAGAGGUAAGUGGAAUUCCUAGUGUAGCGGUGAAAUGCGUAGAUAUUAGGAGGAACACCAGUGGCGAAGGCGGCUUACUGGACUGUAACUGACGUUGAGGCUCGAAAGCGUGGGGAGCAAACAGGAUUAGAUACCCGAGUAGUC